RNAcentral lists this ribosomal RNA (490 nucleotides) under uncultured bacterium. Its description in RNAcentral is "partial 16S ribosomal RNA". It matches the Rfam family "Bacterial small subunit ribosomal RNA", at positions 30 to 507 of the family's 1533-position model. The record is from RNAcentral.
AUUGAACGCUGGCGGCAUGCCUUACACAUGCAAGUCGAACGGCAGCAUGAUCUAUCUUGCUAGAUUGAUGGCGAGUGGCGAACGGGUGAGUAAUACAUCGGAACGUGCCCUGUAGUGGGGGAUAACUAGUCGAAAGAUUAGCUAAUACCGCAUACGACCUGAGGGUGAAAGUGGGGGACCGCAAGGCCUCAUGCUAUAGGAGCGGCCGAUGUCUGAUUAGCUAGUUGGUGAGGUAAAGGCUCACCAAGGCGACGAUCAGUAGCUGGUCUGAGAGGACGAUAAGCCACACUGGGACUGAGACACGGCCCAGACUCCUACGGGAGGCAGCAGUGGGGAAUUUUGGACAAUGGGCGAAAGCCUGAUCCAGCAAUGCCGCGUGUGUGAAGAAGGCCUUCGGGUUGUAAAGCACUUUUGUCCGGAAAGAAAUGGCUCUGGUUAAUACCUGGGGUCGAUGACGGUACCGGAAGAAUAAGGACCGGCUAACUACGUG